RNAcentral lists this small RNA (2034 nucleotides) under Pan troglodytes (chimpanzee). RNAcentral's name for it is "retained intron". The record is from RNAcentral. Lineage: Eukaryota; Metazoa; Chordata; Mammalia; Primates; Hominidae.
AAAAAAAAAAAAAAAAAAAAACUCAUAUCAUUCAGAUGUACUUUUUUAAAAAAGUAGACACUAUGCUUUCUUAUUCCUAAUAAUUUCAGUAAUUAAGACUAAUCAUUGGCAAGUAACACUCAUGUAAGAAAAAAAGUAAGGAUUGUUAUCCACAUCCAUUCAAAUUUUAGAAAAAUGAACAUUUUAAGCUUCGGGCAAGAGUAAUAUCAUUUUUUUCUUUAAUUUUAGCACUUAGCAGUGAUUUUAUUAGCUUCUACAUAUGAUCUGUGUCAUAGAGCCUGAAAGAAGUUACAGUAAACAAUAACCACCAUUUUCACUAAAUCAUAAACAGUAGAGACCAUAACUUAAUUUCAGUGGAGAAAUUCUGUUAAAAAGUGAUUUCUAUAAUGUCAGUUUCAGUUAUUUUUAAAUUCAUAAAUUUGUUUCUUCUCUUUCCUGUUAACUAGUCUCUAAUGAAAAACAAUUACAGAAAAUAAAGCUGCAUUAGAAUUGAAAUGAAAUCCAGUUUAACAUCAGAAGCUUUCUGGCCUUUUGGCUUAAAGGAUAAGUCAUUUAAGCCAUGGUGGUUUGGCCAUUGUUGAAGUCUAGGACACAGCCUGUUCCAACCUCAUCAUGAUACCACCACCAGUGGGUGCCAGUUUCCCUGGUUUCACUUAAAAACAUGAUCCUUUCCAGUGAAAAUUCCAGAAUCAUGCAUUUCUUUACCUAAUAUGUGGUAGUGUUGUAUACUUACCAGCAGAGGGCAGCUUAGUCUUCAGAAAAGAAAUGAACUUGAAAGUUUCAACCCUCUGACAUGUGGGUUCAGCUUAUUUUUUUCUUUGUUCAGUAUGGAGACUCUCUUACUUCUGCUUUUUUUCUUUUCUCUUCUAAUUUUUCGCUUCAGAAUUCUGGUUUCUCAAUGCAUAAACUGAAGUAAUUUCUUCCAUUCUACUUUUCUCUGCCCCAGGCUUGAGAUAGAACUAGGGAGCCCAGUGAGGCCUUUUCUUUCCUAAAUUAACAGUUAGGCAUCUGUGCAUAAAUGCUACCUUUGAACUAUGUGAUUUAAGAUAAUGUGCAGAAUGUACUUCUCUGGUCUUUCAGGUUGCUUGCAUAACUAUGUACUUGGUUGAACUUGUAAUUCUUGCUGACAACAGUCCUGCUGUUUUCCAGUAAGGUUCGUGAUCCUCGGGCCAAUUUUGAUCAGUCCCUACGUGUACUGAAACAUGCCAAGAAGGUUCAGCCUGAUGUUAUUUCUAAAACAUCUAUAAUGUUGGGUUUAGGCGAGAAUGAUGAGCAAGUAUAUGCAACAAUGAAAGCACUUCGUGAGGCAGAUGUAGACUGCUUGACUUUAGGACAAUAUAUGCAGCCAACAAGGCGUCACCUUAAGGUUGAAGAAUAUAUUACUCCUGAAAAAUUCAAAUACUGGGAAAAAGUAGGAAAUGAACUUGGAUUUCAUUAUACUGCAAGUGGCCCUUUGGUGCGUUCUUCAUAUAAAGCAGGUGAAUUUUUCCUGAAAAAUCUAGUGGCUAAAAGAAAAACAAAAGACCUCUAAAACUUCAACAAGACCUUCAAGAUCACAGAAAUUUUUAAAAUUUGAUUCCAGUUAAUAACAGAGGUGGUGCCAGAAUGCCUGGACUGCAGUGGAUGUACCCCACCUCUUUGCUUAAAAAAAAAAAAGUCAAUAGCCAGGCAUAGUGGCUCACGCCUGUAAUCCCAGCACUUUAGGAGGCCAAGGCGGGUGGAUCACCUGAGGUCAGGAGUUCGAGACCAGCCUGGCCAACAUGGUGAAAUCCUGUCUCCACUAAAAACACAAAAAUUAGUCAGGUGUGGUAGUGGGCGCCUGUAAUCCCAGCUACUCGGGAGGCUAAGGCAGGAGAAUCACUUGAACCUGGGAGGGGGAGGUUGCAGUGAGCCAAGAUCGCUCCAUUGCCCUCCAGCCUGGGUGACAAGAGCAAAACUCCAUCUCAAAUAAAUAAAAAGGAAAAAAAAGUCAAUAAACUGUACAAAUUUAAUUACAGUAAUUCAUUUGGCUUUUAGUGUAUCUUGUUUGUCCCA